Molecule: ribosomal RNA, 407 nt
Filed under: uncultured bacterium
Lineage: Bacteria
Description: partial 16S ribosomal RNA
Rfam family: Bacterial small subunit ribosomal RNA
Source: RNAcentral
AUUGAACGCUGGCGGCAGGCCUAACACAUGCAAGUCGAGCGGAGCGGCGGACGGGUGAGUAAUGCCUAGGAAUCUGCCUGGUCGUGGGGGAUAACGUCCGGAACAGGGCGCUAAUACCGCAUAAUAUCAGAUGAGCAUAGGUCGGAUUUGCUAGUUGGUGGGGUAAAGGCCUACCAAGGCGACGACCCGUAACUGGUCUGAGAGGAUUAUCAGUCACUCUGGAACUGAUACACGGUCCAGACUCCUACGGGAGGCAGCAUUGGGGAAUAUUGGACAAUGGGCGAAAGCCUGAUCCAGCCAUGCCGCGUGUGUGAAGAAGGUCUUCGGAUUGUAAAGCACUUUAAGUUGGGAGGCGUUACCAACAGAAUAAGCACCGGCUAACUCCGUGCCAGCAGCCGCGGUAAUAC